RNAcentral lists this ribosomal RNA (1411 nucleotides) under Salmonella enterica. RNAcentral describes it as "partial 23S ribosomal RNA". Lineage: Bacteria; Pseudomonadati; Pseudomonadota; Gammaproteobacteria; Enterobacterales; Enterobacteriaceae. The record is from RNAcentral.
GUGACUGCGUACCUUUUGUAUAAUGGGUCAGCGACUUAUAUUCUGUAGCAAGGUUAACCGAAUAGGGGAGCCGGAGGGAAACCGAGUCUUAAUUGGGCGUUAAGUUGCAGGGUAUAGACCCGAAACCCGGUGAUCUAGCCAUGGGCAGGUUGAAGGUUGGGUAACACUAACUGGAGGACCGAACCGACUAAUGUUGAAAAAUUAGCGGAUGACCUGUGGCUGGGGGUGAAAGGCCAAUCAAACCGGGAGAUAGCUGGUUCUCCCCGAAAGCUAUUUAGGUAGCGCCUCGUGAAUUCAUCUCCGGGGGUAGAGCACUGUUUCGGCUAGGGGGCCAUCCCGGCUUACCAACCCGAUGCAAACUGCGAAUACCGGAGAAUGUUAUCACGGGAGACACACGGCGGGUGCUAACGUCCGUCGUGAAGAGGGAAACAACCCAGACCGCCAGCUAAGGUCCCAAAGUCAUGGUUAAGUGGGAAACGAUGUGGGAAGGCCCAGACAGCCAGGAUGUUGGCUUAGAAGCAGCCAUCAUUUAAAGAAAGCGUAAUAGCUCACUGGUCGAGUCGGCCUGCGCGGAAGAUGUAACGGGGCUAAACCAUGCACCGAAGCUGCGGCAGCGACRCUGUGYGUUGUUGGGUAGGGGAGCGUUCUGUAAGCCUGUGAAGGUGUGUCGUGAGGCAUGCUGGAGGUAUCAGAAGUGCGAAUGCUGACAUAAGUAACGAUAAAGCGGGUGAAAAGCCCGCUCGCCGGAAGACCAAGGGUUCCUGUCCAACGUUAAUCGGGGCAGGGUGAGUCGACCCCUAAGGCGAGGCCGAAAGGCGUAGUCGAUGGGAAACGGGUUAAUAUUCCCGUACUUGGUGUUACUGCGAAGGGGGGACGGAGAAGGCUAUGUUGGCCGGGCGACGGUUGUCCCGGUUUAAGCGUGUAGGUGUGUGUUCCAGGUAAAUCCGGUUCACUUUAACACUGAGGCGUGAYGACGAGGCACUACGGUGCUGAAGCAACAAAUGCCCUGCUUCCAGGAAAAGCCUCUAAGCAUCAGGUAACAUCAAAUCGUACCCCAAACCGACACAGGUGGUCAGGUAGAGAAUACCAAGGCGCUUGAGAGAACUCGGGUGAAGGAACUAGGCAAAAUGGUGCCGUAACUUCGGGAGAAGGCACGCUGACAUGUAGGUGAAGUGAUUUACUCAYGGAGCUGAAGUCAGUCGAAGAUACCAGCUGGCUGCAACUGUUUAUUAAAAACACAGCACUGUGCAAACACGAAAGUGGACGUAUACGGUGUGACGCCUGCCCGGUGCCGGAAGGUUAAUUGAUGGGGUCAGCGCAAGCGAAGCUCCUGAUCGAAGCCCCGGUAAACGGCGGCCGUAACUAUAACGGUCCUAAGGUAGCGAAAUUCCUUGUCGGGUAAGUUCCGACC